UACAGAGGGUGCAAGCGUUAAUCGGAAUUACUGGGCGUAAAGCGUGCGCAGACGGUUGCGUAAGUCAGAUGUGAAAGCCCCGGGCUCAACCUGGGAAUUGCAUUUGAGACUGCGUAGCUAGGGUGCGGAAGAGGGAAGCGGAAUUUCCGGGUGUAGCGGUGAAAUGACGUAGAUAUCGGAAGGAACACCAGUGGCGAAAGCGGCUUCCUGGUCCAGCACCGACGUCAGGCACGAAAGCGUGGGGAGCAAACAGG
This 254-nucleotide ribosomal RNA is filed under the name uncultured bacterium. Its description in RNAcentral is "partial 16S ribosomal RNA". It matches the Rfam family "Bacterial small subunit ribosomal RNA", at positions 524 to 776 of the family's 1533-position model. The record is from RNAcentral.